This 87-nucleotide transfer RNA is filed under the name Burkholderiales bacterium. RNAcentral's name for it is "tRNA-Leu". It matches the Rfam family "tRNA". Rfam says of the family: Transfer RNA (tRNA) molecules are approximately 80 nucleotides in length. Their secondary structure includes four short double-helical elements and three loops (D, anti-codon, and T loops). Further hydrogen bonds mediate the characteristic L-shaped molecular structure. tRNAs have two regions of fundamental functional importance: the anti-codon, which is responsible for specific mRNA codon recognition, and the 3' end, to which the tRNAs corresponding amino acid is attached (by aminoacyl-tRNA synthetases). tRNAs cope with the degeneracy of the genetic code in two manners: having more than one tRNA (with a specific anti-codon) for a particular amino acid; and 'wobble' base-pairing, i.e. permitting non-standard base-pairing at the 3rd anti-codon position. Lineage: Bacteria; Pseudomonadati; Pseudomonadota; Betaproteobacteria; Burkholderiales. The record is from RNAcentral.
GCCGGGAUGGCGGAACUGGUAGACGCACGGGACUCAAAAUCCCGCGAAUUAACCUUCGUGCCGGUUCGAUUCCGGCUCCCGGCACCA